UCCGAAGGGGGCUAGCGUUGUUCGGAAUUACUGGGCGUAAAGCGCACGCAGGCGGAUUUAUAAGUCAGGGGUGAAAUCCCGGGGCUCAACCUCGGAAUUGCCUUUGAUACUGUCUAUCUUGAGUCCGGGAGAGGUGAGUGGAAUUCCUAGUGUAGAGGUGAAAUUCGUAGAUAUUAGGAAGAACCCCAGUGGCGAAGGCGGCUCACUGGCCCGGAACUGACGCUCAUGUGCGAAAGCGUGGGCAGCAAACAGG
RNAcentral lists this ribosomal RNA (253 nucleotides) under uncultured bacterium. RNAcentral's name for it is "partial 16S ribosomal RNA". It matches the Rfam family "Bacterial small subunit ribosomal RNA", at positions 524 to 776 of the family's 1533-position model. The record is from RNAcentral.